UAUGAGAGAACUGUCUAAAUUUUCCCUAAAAUUAUUGUUUUUUUCUAGACCCACACAAUGCAUUAUAAGGAUAUAUAUUUUCCUUCCAGCAUCUGUUUAUUUCCCCCUUUGCAGUUUCCUAUUUUUCAGCUUACUUUUGCUGUACGAUGGGAAGCCGGUUCCCAGCCCUGUCCCCGGGUCUCCGAGGGUGGAAGAGAGCUGAUCCCUGGUUCCCUGUUCUGAAGAGAGACCUGGCAAAGGGAUCAGAGCCGUUAAACACCAGGGUCUCUAGAGCAAGCUGUUUCUUUAAAAACAAACAAACCAACCACCUGAAAGACUGGAACUGGAGUUUUCAGAGAGAAGCUGUUCUAAACCGAGAAAACCACGACCAUCAGUGGAGGAACCCUACUGCUCUUUGGGAUGUGUGGGACUCAGCCGACAGAGGUGGGAGAACUUCUUCAUUUUCCUCUGACAAAACAACUGAGUCAGUGAAUGAGGCAGGUGAAGUGUUGGAGAGGCACCAUCUUCACCCUAGAGCACCGAGAGAGGUCCUUAGGCACUGCUCGAGUCACCACUGCUGCUGCUGGUGUGGCAGAGGAAAAAAAAGCAGAUUAAUUACCCACCAACACGUCUGACCUGGCAACUGGCACAAUGUCUCUUGCUUGGUACCGAGCGGCUUGGCUCUCACCUUAGCUGCAGUAACGCUUCCAGCUCCUCUUCUCCCGCCCCUGAAACACCGUGUAAGUAGAUCCAUCUCUUAACUGAAGAGCUUACAAAUUAGAAAAGUAUAUUUUAGUUCAAACAGUACUUCUCAGGAUUGAUUCUUACUUCACAGCUUACUUAACCUCUAACACUGAGACAAAUGGAAAUUCACUCCUAACUUGCAAUAUGUAUUUCAAUAGCCAGUUUCCCUCAUGUUUAAAUGAAUGGUUUAAAGGAGUGGAGGUGGAUUGAGUGUGACAGGCCAGCAGCUACGUAUGGAAAUGCACCCUGUUUAGUAUUCUGUAUCUGCCUGGGAAUAGGAGGUACCCCGUCCAAAAUGAGUACAGGAUGCAUGUCCCAGUUGCACAUGCAACCUAAAAUCUGAUGGUCCCCCUAAUUGCUAAUAUACUGAAUGACUGUCAUACAUACAAAUGAACACUUAACACAUUUUUGCAGCUCAUUUGCCUUUAUAAGUAUUUUUAAAGGGCACAGCCCUGAAAAUUAUAUCUCCAGAAAUUUGCAGCAGUGACAUCCUGUUACCGCUCUUAAAUGAGGAAGAAAUGUCAUUCCUAGUGCCUUAGUUACCAGUGGAGACCCUGCAGAAACCCAGGGGGGGAAAACCGUUAAUCCUUUACAUCAAAACUUGGGCAACAUCCAAUGAGUCUUCUCCAGCCGGAACCAGGGAUGGAGACCUGGGCGCCUCCUCUCGGAGUGCUUUCAGCUUGCUUUGGGACCAGAAACCCACUGUAAUGGGACAUAAGUUAGUUCUCCUGAUGACAUGGUUUUCAGAAGGUUUCAAAGUGAAGGUUCACAAGCCCAUACAAUUGUACUGGCAGUCCCCCAUCCUCUUGGUAAGGAUUAACAGCCCCCCAAAGAAGCAGUCCCCUCUCAAACGUGUAGCUCUGAAGUGCCUUUGGGGAUGGUCAUCCUAGGGCUG
This is a long non-coding RNA of Calidris pygmaea (Spoon-billed sandpiper), 1618 nucleotides long. The record is from Ensembl. NCBI's taxonomy places the organism in Eukaryota, Metazoa, Chordata, Aves, Charadriiformes, Scolopacidae.